RNAcentral lists this ribosomal RNA (482 nucleotides) under uncultured bacterium. RNAcentral describes it as "partial 16S ribosomal RNA". It matches the Rfam family "Bacterial small subunit ribosomal RNA", at positions 28 to 507 of the family's 1533-position model. The record is from RNAcentral.
GAUGAACGCUGGCGGCGUGCCUAACACAUGCAAGUCGAACGAAGCUUGACGGAUGAUUUCUUCGGAAUGAAACCAGAUAUGACUUAGUGGCGGACGGGUGAGUAACACGUGAGCAACCUGCCUUUCAGAGGGGGAUAACGGCUGGAAACGGUCGCUAAUACCGCAUGAUGUGUUCGGAUGGCAUCAUCUGAACAUCAAAGAUUUAUCGCUGAAAGAUGGGCUCGCGUCUGAUUAGAUAGUUGGGGGGUAACGGCCUACCAAGUCUACGAUCAGUAGCCGGACUGAGAGGUAGAACGGCCAGAUUGGGACUGAGAUACGGCGCAGGCUCCUACGGGAGGCAGCAGUGGGGAAUAUUGCACAAUGGGGGAAACCCUGAUGCAGCAACGCCGCGUGAAGGAUGACGGUUUUCGGAUUGAAAACUUCUUUUCUUAGUGACGAAGACAGUGACGGUAGCUAAGGAAUAAGCAUCGGCUAACUACGUG